AAACCAACAGGGAUUGCCUUAGUAGCGGCGAGUGAACCGGCAAAAGCUCAAAUUUGAAAUCUGCUAGCAAUAGCCGAGUUGUAAUUUGUAGAUGGUAAUUCUGUAACAAGUCUUUGCUCAAGUUUCCUGGAACGGAACACCAAGGAGGGUGACAGUCCCGUGAGGCAUUGAUGUAGUUGCGUGUAGAAUGCUAUCGAAGAGUCGAGUUGUUUGGGAAUGCAGCUCAAAGUGGGUGGUAAGUUCCAUCUAAAGCUAAAUAUUGGCGAGAGACCGAUAGCGAACAAGUACUGUGAAGGAAAGAUGAAAAGCACUUUGAAAAGAGAGUGAAAUAGUACGUGAAAUUGUUAAUAUGGAAGGAUAUAAAACUAGACACGAAGUUUUGAGUUCUGCAGUCUCUCGGGAUUGUUUUGUCUCUUUAUUUCACACCAGCAUCAGUUUUGGCAGGAGGAUAAAAAGUUUGGAAUGUAGCUACUUUUGUAGUGUUAUAGACAUGCUUCAUACUCUUAGCCGGGACUGAGGUCAGCCUUUUGUAGGAUGCUGGGGUAAUGGUUUUAUAUCA
This 559-nucleotide ribosomal RNA is filed under the name [Candida] sp. RNAcentral describes it as "LSU rRNA". It matches the Rfam family "Eukaryotic large subunit ribosomal RNA", at positions 62 to 647 of the family's 3401-position model. Lineage: Eukaryota; Fungi; Ascomycota; Saccharomycetes; Saccharomycetales. The record is from RNAcentral.